UGGUGAAUUACUCCAUCAGGAAUCUA
Molecule: non-coding RNA, 26 nt
Filed under: Mus musculus (house mouse)
Lineage: Eukaryota; Metazoa; Chordata; Mammalia; Rodentia; Muridae
Source: RNAcentral